RNAcentral lists this ribosomal RNA (30 nucleotides) under Metarhizium anisopliae. Its description in RNAcentral is "partial 28S ribosomal RNA". Lineage: Eukaryota; Fungi; Ascomycota; Sordariomycetes; Hypocreales; Clavicipitaceae. The record is from RNAcentral.
CUCCGAAUGCAGGUAGGAAUUCCCCAAGCG